Molecule: long non-coding RNA, 506 nt
Organism: Neodiprion fabricii
Lineage: Eukaryota; Metazoa; Arthropoda; Insecta; Hymenoptera; Diprionidae
Exons: 4
Source: RefSeq, a predicted model, not a curated record
GGUAGGGUGACAAAGAAGAGAAACCAAAUACAAAAUAGUAAUAGCCCUUUGCCGCAGCAUAGAUCCAUAGAAGAUUCCAAGUAUUUGACAACGAUGAUACCUUAUCACAUGGACAGUGGCCCACCUGAUAAUCAAGCUUUACAAGUCCUCAUUAAGAUAUUAAAGGCUAUUAAUGAGGAUAGUCCAACAGUGCCCACAUUAUUAACGGACUACAUAUUGAAAGUUCUGUGCCCCACCUAGUGAUCCACUAGUACAUAUCCUCCAACGUGACAUCUCUGUGCUACGUAUAAAGAAGAAAAGAUUUAUUAAGAUGCAAAUUGCUCCUCUCUUCUUGCCAUUGUGCUUUCAGCCAUUGGUGUGCUGUGUGUUUGAAAUUUAGGACAGUAUAUAAUAUAGAGUAACAGGUACAGCUACGAAUAUAGCACUACAAUAAAUCUUAUAGAAAUGAGCUCUCAUUGAGAUUUCUCUGUACUUAUAAUUCGACACGAGAAGGCAAAAAUCAAUGU